Molecule: transfer RNA, 72 nt
Filed under: Heterocephalus glaber (naked mole-rat)
Lineage: Eukaryota; Metazoa; Chordata; Mammalia; Rodentia; Bathyergidae
Rfam family: tRNA
About the family: Transfer RNA (tRNA) molecules are approximately 80 nucleotides in length. Their secondary structure includes four short double-helical elements and three loops (D, anti-codon, and T loops).
Source: Rfam by way of RNAcentral
AGAGAUACAGCUCAGUGGUGAAGUGCUUGUCUAACAUCCAAAAGGCCCUGGGUUCAAUCCCCAGUACUGUUA